Molecule: ribosomal RNA, 510 nt
Filed under: uncultured bacterium
Lineage: Bacteria
Description: partial 16S ribosomal RNA
Rfam family: Bacterial small subunit ribosomal RNA
Source: RNAcentral
GACGAACGCUGGCGGCGUGCUUAACACAUGCAAGUCGAACGAAGAGCGAUGGAAGCUUGCUUCUAUCAAUCUUAGUGGCGAACGGGUGAGUAACGCGUAAUCAACCUGCCCUUCAGAGGGGGACAACAGUUGGAAACGACUGCUAAUACCGCAUACGAUCUAAUCUCGGCAUCGAGGAUAGAUGAAAGGUGGCCUCUACAUGUAAGCUAUCACUGAAGGAGGGGAUUGCGUCUGAUUAGCUAGUUGGAGGGGUAACGGCCCACCAAGGCGAUGAUCAGUAGGCGGUCUGAGAGGAUGGACGGCCACAUUGGGACUGAGACACGGCCCAGACUCCUACGGGAGGCAGCAGUGGGGAAUCUUCCGCAAUGGACGAAAGUCUGACGGAGCAACGCCGCGUGAGUGAUGACGGCCUUCGGGUUGUAAAGCUCUGUUAAUCGGGACGAAAGGCCUUCUUGCGAAUAGUGAGAAGGAUUGACGGUACCGGAAGAGAAAGCAACGGCUAACUACGUG